CCAUGAAAUUAAUUGCUAUAUAGUAGCCCACUGUAUGGCUGUUUACUAAUUUACUGAACAAUUUCCCAUGAUUAUCUAUUUCUUCUUUUUAUGAUAAAUAGCAAUGUAAUGAACAUUAUUUUAUCAAAUACAUAUUCAUUCAACUAAUAACUUUUGAGUCCCUUCUAUGAGCAUGUGCCUAGGAAAUAUAAUCUUUGUUCUUAAAAACUUAUAGCAGCCCAGAUGUCAUAAACACCAAAUAUCAGUGACUCUGACAUAUUUCAAGACACCCAGAUUGUGAAAAGAAGAGAGGGGAAUAUUCUCAAAAGUUUGUUAACCAAAGGAUCAAACAGAACAACUAUACAUGAAGUCCCCAUUUCCAUAAUGGGAGAUCAGCAACAUCACAGGAUACUGAAUUCUACCGUUGCUUUAUAAUGUCCAGCUUGGCAGCUCAGAUUCUUUCUAGACACUAGAUCUACAGCAGCGUGAAAACGGACUAGUACGGACUCCACGCAGAUCUCCCAGAGGAAGGCAUUGAGAGGCGAGAGGAAGCAGACCCUGGGCUGAAAAUGGAGGAAGCUGGGAACCCUGCAAGGAGCUGCAGAGCACCCGGACUCCUUACGCACCUCCAGCAACUCCUAGAGAAUGAGAGGUGGACACCCAGCAGGCAAGAACAUCAUCAGAGGGACUGACAUUCAGGUUUGCAAAUGAACAUUUUUCUGAAGAUGCCACCUACUUUUGUUAAACUUCCUCAUGGAUACAUUACAGAUCAUCUACUGGAAGAAAUAUUUGCUGUCUUGAGACUGUCAGGAUUCCCAGACAGCCUGUAUCAUCAGUAUCACAGGAGGAAAAAAUAAAUAAUUUGUAAAACCACCCUGUGUCCAUAAACCUGAUCUCAACAAAGUAGCAAGACUGUCAACAGAGUUUAGCAAAAAAUGUCUAUCUCACCACUAUGAUAUUUGAGAUAAUACUCAAGAAAAUAUCUUACCUUUAUUACAAGUUAAAGCUACAAUAAUGCGACUUAUAUUUCACU
RNAcentral lists this long non-coding RNA (1012 nucleotides) under Homo sapiens (human). RNAcentral's name for it is "HSALNT0084566". The record is from RNAcentral. Lineage: Eukaryota; Metazoa; Chordata; Mammalia; Primates; Hominidae.